RNAcentral lists this long non-coding RNA (331 nucleotides) under Populus trichocarpa (black cottonwood). Its description in RNAcentral is "long non-coding RNA (PTRI_LNC001155)". Lineage: Eukaryota; Viridiplantae; Streptophyta; Magnoliopsida; Malpighiales; Salicaceae. The record is from RNAcentral.
CAUGGUGGCGUUGUGAGGAGAAGGUUGUAUGCAAGGAUCUUUAGCUGUAGGGAUGUCUAGAGAUUGGAGGGCUCUAAGUUGUUUGGGGUUUAAAGUGGAGUUAAUGGAGGGAAAGGGGGAUUUGGUGGUCGGUGGAGUAGGAGAGGAGGUGGGGGAGGGAGUUUUGGUGGUGGGUGCAGUAGGAGAGGAGGCUGGGGAGGGAGAGGGUGGAAGAGUGGCAAUGGGAGAGGCAGAGGCAGCUUCAGUGGUGGUGGCGGAGAUGAGGAAGAGGAGGAGGAGAGUGAGGAGGAGGGGUGGUGGAGGUGGUGACAUUGUGGGGAGGGACAGAGAA